UAUAAGCAAUUAUACAGCGAAACUGCGAAUGGCUCAUUAUAUAAGUUAUCGUUUAUUUGAUAGUACUUUACUACUUGGAUAACCGUGGUAAUUCUAGAGCUAAUACAUGCUAAAAAUCCCGACUUCGGAAGGGAUGUAUUUAUUAGAUUAAAAACCAAUGCCCUUUGGGCUCCUUGGUGAAUCAUGAUAACUUCUCGAAUCGCAUGGCCUUGCGCCGGCGAUGGUUCAUUCAAAUUUCUUCCCUAUCAACUUUCGAUGUUUGGGUAUUGGCCAAACAUGGUCGCAACGGGUAACGGAGGGUUAGGGCUCGACCCCGGAGAAGGAGCCUGAGAAACGGCUACUACAUCCAAGGAAGGCAGCAGGCGCGCAAAUUACCCAAUCCCGACUCGGGGAGGUAGUGACAAUAAAUACUGAUACGAGGCUCUUUUGGGCCUUGUAAUUGGAAUGAGUACAAUUUAAAUCUCUUAACGAGGAACAAUUGGAGGGCAAGUCUGGUGCCAGCAGCCGCGGUAAUUCCAGCUCCAAUAGCGUAUAUUAAAGUUGUUGUGGUUAAAAAGCUCGUAGUUGAACCUUGGGCCUGGCUGGCCGGUCCGCCUCACCGCGUGUACUGGUCCGGCCGGGCCUUUCCCUCUGUGGAACCUCAUGCCCUUCACUGGGUGUGACGGGGAAGCAGGACUUUUACUGUGAAAAAAUUAGAGUGCUCCAAGCAGGCCUAUGCUCGAAUACAUUAGCAUGGAAUAAUGAAAUAGGACGUGCGGUUCUAUUUUGUUGGUUUCUAGGACCGCCGUAAUGAUUAAUAGGGACAGUCGGGGGCAUCAGUAUUCAAUUGUCAGAGGUGAAAUUCUUGGAUUUAUUGAAGACUAACUACUGCGAAAGCAUUUGCCAAGGAUGUUUUCAUUAAUCAGGAACGAAAGUUAGGGGAUCGAAGACGAUCAGAUACCGUCGUAGUCUUAACCAUAAACUAUGCCGACUAGGGAUCGGACGAUGUUAUUUUUUGACUCGUUCGGCACCUUACGAGAAAUCAAAGUGUUUGGGCUCCAGGG
RNAcentral lists this ribosomal RNA (1043 nucleotides) under Leptobacillium sp. Its description in RNAcentral is "SSU rRNA". It matches the Rfam family "Eukaryotic small subunit ribosomal RNA", at positions 64 to 1119 of the family's 1831-position model. Lineage: Eukaryota; Fungi; Ascomycota; Sordariomycetes; Hypocreales; Cordycipitaceae. The record is from RNAcentral.